AGUCACGAGCCUCGCCGCUGCUGCCGCCGCCGCCCAGAGACUGCUGAGCCCCUGUCCGUCCGCCGCCACCACCCACUCCGGACACAGAACAUUCAGUCAUGGAUAAAAAUGAGCUGGUUCAGAAGGCCAAACUGGCCGAGCAGGCUGAGCGAUAUGAUGACAUGGCAGCCUGCAUGAGGAGAGGAAUCUUCUCUCAGUUGCUUAUAAAAAUGUUGUAGGAGCCUGUAGGUCAUCUUGGAGGGUCGUCUCAAGUAUUGAACAAAAGGCGGAAGGUGCUGAGAAAAAACAGCAGAUGGCUCGAGAAUACAGAGAGAAAAUUGAGACAGAGCUAAGAGAUAUCUGCAAUGAUGUACUGUCUCUCUUGGAAAAGUUCUUGAUCCCCAAUGCUUCACAAGCAGAGAGCAAAGUCUUCUAUUUGAAAAUGAAAGGAGAUUACUACGGUUAUUUGGCUGAGGUUGCCGCUGGUGAUGACAAGAAAGGGAUUGUGGAUCAGUCACAACAAGCAUACCAAGAAGCUUUUGAAAUCAGCAAAAAGGAAAUGCAACCAACACAUCCUAUCAGACUGGGUCUGGCCCUUAACUUCUCUGUGUUCUAUUAUGAGAUUCUGAACUCCCCAGAGAAAGCCUGCUCUCUUGCAAAGACAGCUUUUGAUGAAGCCAUUGCUGAACUUGAUACAUUAAGUGAAGGGUCAUACAAAGACAGCACGCUAAUAAUGCAAUUACUGAGCGACAACUUAACAUUGUGGACAUCGGAUACCCAAGGAGAUGAAGCUGAAGCAGGAGAAGGAGGGGAAAAUUAACCGGCCUUCCAACUUUUGUCUGCCUCAUUCUAAAAUUUACACAGUAGACCAUUUGUCAUCCAUGCUGUCCCACAAAUAGUUUUUUGUUUACGAUUUAUGACAGGUUUAUGUUACUUCUAUUUGAAUUUCUAUAUUUCCCAUGUGGUUUUUAUGUUUAAUAUUAGGGGAGUAGAGCCAGUUAACAUUUAGGGAAUUAAUCUAUUCUCAUCUUGAGGUGGCCAAUAUGGGGAUGUGGAAUUUUUAUACAAGUUAUAAAUGUUUGGCAUAGUACUUUUGGUACAUUGUGGCUUCACAAGGGCCAGUGUUAAAACUGCUUCCAUGUCUAAGCAAAGAAAACUGCCUACAUAUUGGUUUGUCCUGGUGGGGGAUAAAAGGGAUCAUUGGUUCCAGUCACAGGUGUAGUAAUUGUGGGUACUUUAAGGUUUGGAGCACUUCAAAGGCUGUGGUAGAAACAAAUAUCCCAUGGAUACCACAUGUUAAACCAUGUCUAUCUGUGGAGUACUCAAUCUCAAAGUUCACACCUUUGACUACAGCUGCAGAAGUGUUCCUUUAGACAAAGUUGUGACCCAUUUUACUCUGGAUAAGGGCAGAAACAGUUCACAUUCCAUUAUUUGUAAAGUUACCUGCUGUUAGCUUUCAUUAUUUUUGCUACACUCAUUUUAUUUGUAUUUAAAUGUCUCAGGCAACCUAAGAACAAAUGUAAAAGUAAAGAUGCAGUAAAAAUGAAUUGCUUGGUAUUCAUUACUUUGUGUAUAUCAAGCACAGCAGUAAAACAAAAACCCAUGUAUUUAACUUUUUUUUAGGUUUUUUGCUUUUGUGAUUUUUUUUUUUUGAUACUUGCCUAACAUGCAUGUGCUGUAAAAAUAGUUAACAGGGAAAUAACUUGAGAUGAUGGCUAGCUUUGUUUAAUGUCUUAUGAAAUUUUCAUGAACAAUCCAAGCAUAAUUGUUAAGAACAUGUGUAUUAAAUUCAUGUAAGUGGAAUAAAAGUUUUAUGAAUGGACUUUUCAA
Molecule: RNA transcript, 1809 nt
Organism: Sapajus apella (tufted capuchin)
Lineage: Eukaryota; Metazoa; Chordata; Mammalia; Primates; Cebidae
Gene name: 14-3-3 protein zeta/delta pseudogene
Exons: 1
Source: RefSeq, a predicted model, not a curated record